Molecule: ribosomal RNA, 406 nt
Filed under: uncultured bacterium
Lineage: Bacteria
Description: partial 16S ribosomal RNA
Rfam family: Bacterial small subunit ribosomal RNA
Source: RNAcentral
AUUGAACGCUGGCGGCAGGCUUAACACAUGCAAGUCGAGCGAGCGGCGGAAGGGUGAGUAAUGUCUGGGAAACUGCCUGAUGGAGGGGGAUAACUACUGGAAACGGUAGCUAAUACCGCAUACCAUCAGAUGUGCCCAGAUGGGAUUAGCUAGUAGGUGGGGUAAUGGCUCACCUAGGCGACGAUCCCUAGCUGGUCUGAGAGGAGUACCAGCCACACUGGAAAGGAGACACGGUCCAGACGCCUACGGGAGGCAGCAGUGGGGAAUAUUGCACAAUGGGCGAAAGCCUGAUGCAGCCAUGCCGCGGGGGGGAAUAAGGCCUUCGGGGUGGAAAGCACUUUCAGCGAGGAGGCGGUACUCGCAGAAGAAGCACCGGCUAACUCCGUGCCAGCAGCCGCGGUAAUUC